Molecule: ribosomal RNA, 548 nt
Filed under: Bifidobacterium animalis subsp. lactis
Lineage: Bacteria; Bacillati; Actinomycetota; Actinomycetes; Bifidobacteriales; Bifidobacteriaceae
Description: bacterial SSU rRNA
Rfam family: Bacterial small subunit ribosomal RNA
Source: RNAcentral
GUGGUAAUACCGGAUGCUCCGCUCCAUCGCAUGGUGGGGUGGGAAAUGCUUUUGCGGCAUGGGAUGGGGUCGCGUCCUAUCAGCUUGUUGGCGGGGUGAUGGCCCACCAAGGCGUUGACGGGUAGCCGGCCUGAGAGGGUGACCGGCCACAUUGGGACUGAGAUACGGCCCAGACUCCUACGGGAGGCAGCAGUGGGGAAUAUUGCACAAUGGGCGCAAGCCUGAUGCAGCGACGCCGCGUGCGGGAUGGAGGCCUUCGGGUUGUAAACCGCUUUUGUUCAAGGGCAAGGCACGGUUUCGGCCGUGUUGAGUGGAUUGUUCGAAUAAGCACCGGCUAACUACGUGCCAGCAGCCGCGGUAAUACGUAGGGUGCGAGCGUUAUCCGGAUUUAUUGGGCGUAAAGGGCUCGUAGGCGGUUCGUCGCGUCCGGUGUGAAAGUCCAUCGCCUAACGGUGGAUCUGCGCCGGGUACGGGCGGGCUGGAGUGCGGUAGGGGAGACUGGAAUUCCCGGUGUAACGGUGGAAUGUGUAGAUAUCGGGAAGAACACC